RNAcentral lists this ribosomal RNA (492 nucleotides) under uncultured bacterium. Its description in RNAcentral is "partial 16S ribosomal RNA". It matches the Rfam family "Bacterial small subunit ribosomal RNA", at positions 29 to 507 of the family's 1533-position model. The record is from RNAcentral.
AGUGAACGCUGGCGGUAGGCCUAACACAUGCAAGUCGAACGGCAGCACAGUAAGAGCUUGCUCUUACGGGUGGCGAGUGGCGGACGGGUGAGGAAUACAUCGGAAUCUACUUUUUCGUGGGGGAUAACGUAGGGAAACUUACGCUAAUACCGCAUACGACCUACGGGUGAAAGCAGGGGAUCUUCGGACCUUGCGCGAUUGAAUGAGCCGAUGUCGGAUUAGCUAGUUGGCGGGGUAAAGGCCCACCAAGGCGACGAUCCGUAGCUGGUCUGAGAGGAUGAUAAGCCACACUGGAACUGGAACACGGUCCAGAAUCCUACGGGAGGGAGCAGGGGGGAAUAUUGGACAAUUGGGGGAAGCCUGAUCCAGCCAUAACGCGUGGGUUAAGAAAGCCUUCCGGUUGUAAAACCCUUUUGUUGGGAAAGAAAAGCAGCAGGUUAAUACCCCGCUGUUCUGACGGUACCCAAAGAAUAAGCACCGGCUAACUUCGUG